CCCGCCACCUGUCGGCUGCACACCUGCACCUGUGGCUGAUUUGUACACUGGAAAGCAAAACGGUUUCGACAGUUUUUUUUUUUCUAGUGACAUGAAUAACCCAUAUAAUUGUGAAUUUGAGAAUCACUUGCACAAGAGAGAGAGAGAGAGAGAGAGAGAGAGACCCGCGAUCUUUUGUUUUGUGUAGUUUGCAGGUUAAGCAGUGAUCCUCAAAUUCACAACUAUACGAAUUACCCAUUACAAAAAAUUCUGUCAUUAGAAGAAAAACUGCCGAAACCUUUUUGCUUUCCAGUGUAUGUACAGCGGCUUUGGUCCGGUUUAGUGACAAUUUAAUUAGUGACAACUGUAGUUAGUGAUUUCUUGCACGUGAUUAUACACUUUUGGCAUUUUCUCUUAAAUCUAAAAUAUAUUCCAAUCAAAUGUGAGAGCGCGCUAACUUGUGGCGUAUUUGAGUGAGUGGGUUUUAAUUUACAUCCUAGGUUUUUUAGGGUCGAAAUGUAGCUUUGUGAUUGGCUACUAGAAUCUUGUAACGUCAUUAGAUUGUUGUAAAACCGGAUUGACGUUGCCAUGUGAACGUACCCUGCGACCGCCAUCUUUGCUACUCGCAGUGCCGUCAAUUCGUUCGUACGCCGCGUUUCAGCGGGCAGCACAUAGAAAAAUGUAAGAAGUAAAGCGUAGCUGGGUACCUAUUAUGGAACUCGUCGGAAUCGAUUCCGAUCGGAAUAAUUCCGUUUCCCCUAGAAAAGACAAUAGAAAUCUAAGAAAUAACGGAAUAAAUUCGAUCGGAAUCGAUUCCGACAAGUUCCAUAAUAGGUACCCUGAUCAUAGAUGAAAUGUAAGUGGUGAUUGCUUACAUUCUCAACUAUAAUGGGUUGAUUUGCUCAUUGCUUACAUUCUCCUGCGCGCCAUCCGCUUUACCGACAUUUUUCAGGUCGGGUCUGUUCUUUGCAAUUAAACUAGCUCGCGAUUUUGCCUUUACAGUGAAAUGGUUGUAUAACAUAAUCAGGUGUUGAACAGGAAAUUAAUGAGGUUCCAAUGUAGCGAAUUAGCUGAAGAGAACGGAUUUAUCGCCCCGUUCGAUCUGUUAACCCUCAAGUUUUUCAUUAGAGACGAUUUUUGUCAUUUAUGACUCGGCUCUUCGGUAAUUUCUGACUUAAAGAAGGAUAACCCAAUCUUAUAAUUUAAUCAAUACUACGAUAGUAUAUCGAGGGUUAAAGGACGUAACGCUUCGCAGGCACAUCUUCUCUGUACUUAAGUAAAAAAAGAAAGAGAGCGAGAGAGCGAGCGAGAGAGAGAGAGAGAGAGGGGGGGGAGAGAGAGAGAGAGAGAGAGAGAGAGGGGGGAGGGAGGGAGAGUCUCUUUUGAUGAAAAGGAAACGGAAAACCCAACUGACCAAUAAAGUUCUAUUCAAAAUUACUAAUCACUGUUUUUUCUUUUUUGUUUAAAAUAAAUGCGAUCCCAUUUCCUAUACCAAUGCCUUGUCUUUAUUAAAUAUAUUUAAUUAAUACCUCUUAAUAAAGUCGACUAAAUUUGGUGUAUACGUUGUGUGCAAUUCUUUUGUAUCGAUCUCUUAAGAAACUUAGAUCCUUGGAUUGACAAAAUUAUUUUCCAAACGGUUAUCAUUAUCGAUAACAGUUUAAUAUAAUUUUCGUUUCAGUUGUACAAAAAGGAUAAAAAGAAAAAUUGUGAUGUAGAAAACUGAAUUACAUGCCAUGUCGUCAAAACAUCAGAUACGCCUUAGCGUUUCUUUUGAGAUCUAAACUUUUGUAGAGAUAAAAAUGCAAGAAUAAAAAAUAGGAAUUUGAAUAAUUUCUAAGGUGAAUUUGGAAAUGUACAAAUUUGAAGUCUUGAUAAUUCGAAGAUCUAAAUGAGUUACAAUUCAAGGAUUCGAGAAUUUAAGUAUUUAUCUGUGAGAAGUAAACACGCUGUGAAUACAAUAUUGACUAUAAACAACAUUCUCUGUUAAAAGGUCGCAAGCAAAGCUGCAAAAAGGAAAAUAUAAAUAUAAUAUAUAUAAAGGAAAUAGAGAUUUAGAGAUUAUUUACUUCUUGGGCUUUUGUAUUUUGAAAUUGGACGGUUAUAUGCUUUUCAGAGUCUCUUAUUUCUUGAUAAGAUACUCGUCAAACGUUGCAGGGUCAAAUAUUUAUAAUAUAUUAUAGAAUAUAUUAUAAAAUAGAUACUUAUCAUACAUACGGGAUACAAGAUAUGUGUAAAUUUAUAGAUAUAAUUCUAUAUACACAUAUUGAUUUCUUUGAUUUUAUCUGCGGAUAUUCAAAUGUCUAUUGAAAUCCUUGAAUGUUUGCAAAAGAUAGAUAUUUGGAAUGUAUAAAGUGACAAGGAUAAAAAGGAAAACCACAAGUCCGAAAAGAGUUGUUAAGUCUAUGAACUUGAGAGUACAAGGAUCUAAGAACACAGGAACGCGUAGGCAUUUGUAUAUUUAAGAACAAAGGAGAUCUAACAAUCAUGGAUCAAAAUGUAUAUAUGCAGAAUAAUAGAUGUAAUUACCAAAACCAAGAUCAUAAAACUCCCAGCCACAUUUUCUGAAGAAUCUAAAUAUCUGAAAAGAUCUAGAAGUGAAUUGAUCUAACUUUAGGAUUUUAGGAACUUUAGGAUAGAACUGACAAAAGCACUGAUUUUUUCAACCCAUGAUGGAUAGAUAAGAUGAUCCAAUGAAUUUUGAUAUUAAUGAAUUUAAAUAGUCACUUUUAAUGCUCCAAAAACUUCAAAGAUUUGGAAACUUGUGUAAAUUCAAGAAGUUAAAAAUUCGUUGAGAUGCAUAUUCAAAUAGGUAUAUAUGUACAUAUGGAGAGACUUGAAACGUUCUUAAUAAUUGAAUGAUAAAUAUAAGAAUCCAUACACAAAAGUACGGAAAUUCAUAAAUUUAAAUUUUAUAAACUGCAGAGAGUAAUGUUUCUA
This is a long non-coding RNA of Harpegnathos saltator (Jerdon's jumping ant), 2916 nucleotides long. RefSeq lists it as uncharacterized. The transcript has 4 exons. The record is from RefSeq and is a predicted model, not a curated record. Lineage: Eukaryota; Metazoa; Arthropoda; Insecta; Hymenoptera; Formicidae.